UACGUAGGUGGCAAGCGUUAUCCGGAAUUAUUGGGCGUAAAGCGCGCGCAGGCGGUUUCUUAAGUCUGAUGUGAAAGCCCACGGCUCAACCGUGGAGGGUCAUUGGAAACUGGGGAACUUGAGUGCAGAAGAGAAGAGUGGAAUUCCACGUGUAGCGGUGAAAUGCGUAGAGAUGUGGAGGAACACCAGUGGCGAAGGCGACUCUUUGGCCUGUAACUGACGCUGAGGCGCGAAAGCGUGGGGAGCAAACAGG
This 253-nucleotide ribosomal RNA is filed under the name uncultured bacterium. RNAcentral describes it as "partial 16S ribosomal RNA". It matches the Rfam family "Bacterial small subunit ribosomal RNA", at positions 524 to 776 of the family's 1533-position model. The record is from RNAcentral.